RNAcentral lists this transfer RNA (72 nucleotides) under Nicotiana sylvestris (wood tobacco). It matches the Rfam family "tRNA". From Rfam's summary of the family: Transfer RNA (tRNA) molecules are approximately 80 nucleotides in length. Their secondary structure includes four short double-helical elements and three loops (D, anti-codon, and T loops). The record is from Rfam by way of RNAcentral. Lineage: Eukaryota; Viridiplantae; Streptophyta; Magnoliopsida; Solanales; Solanaceae. RNAcentral also lists the same sequence under 1 other name.
GUCGUUGUAGUAUAGUGGUGAGUAUUCCCGCCUGUCAUGCGGGUGACCCUGGUUCGUUCCCCAGCAGAGUCG